CACGUGAGAAACCUGCCCUGAACUUGGGAAUAACAGUUGGAAACGGCUGCUAAUACCGAAUACCUUCACGACGUCGCAUGGCGAUGUGAAGAAAGCUUUAUGCGGUUCAGGAGGGUCUCGCGACCUAUCAGCUUGUUGGUGAGGUAACGGCUCACCAAGGCAUCGACGGGUAACUGGUCUGAGAGGAUGAUCAGCCACACUGGGACUGAGACACGGCCCAGACUCCUACGGGAGGCAGCAGUGGGGAAUAUUGCACAAUGGGCGCAAGCCUGAUGCAGCCAUGCCGCGUGUGUGAAGAAG
RNAcentral lists this ribosomal RNA (300 nucleotides) under uncultured Acidimicrobiales bacterium. RNAcentral describes it as "bacterial SSU rRNA". It matches the Rfam family "Bacterial small subunit ribosomal RNA", at positions 114 to 413 of the family's 1533-position model. The record is from RNAcentral. Lineage: Bacteria; Bacillati; Actinomycetota; Acidimicrobiia; Acidimicrobiales.